RNAcentral lists this ribosomal RNA (468 nucleotides) under uncultured bacterium. RNAcentral's name for it is "partial 16S ribosomal RNA". It matches the Rfam family "Bacterial small subunit ribosomal RNA", at positions 28 to 507 of the family's 1533-position model. The record is from RNAcentral.
GACGAACGCUGGCGGCGUGCUUAACACAUGCAAGUCGAACGGAAAGGCCCUGCUUUUGUGGGGUGCUCGAGUGGCGAACGGGUGAGUAACACGUGAGUAACCUGCCCUUGACUUUGGGAUAACUUCAGGAAACUGGGGCUAAUACCGGAUAGGAGCUCCUGCUGCAUGGUGGGGGUUGGAAAGUUUCGGCGGUUGGGGAUGGACUCGCGGCUUACCAGCUUGUUGGUGGGGUAGUGGCUUACCAAGGCUUUGACGGGUAGCCGGCCUGAGAGGGUGACCGGCCACAUUGGGACUGAGAUACGGCCCAGACUCCUACGGGAGGCAGCGGUGGGGAAUAUUGCACAAUGGGCGGAAGCCUGAUGCAGCAACGCCGCGUGCGGGAUGACGGCCUUCGGGUUGUAAACCGCUUUCGCCUGUGACGAAGCGUGAGUGACGGUAAUGGGUAAAGAAGCACCGGCUAACUACGUG